This 443-nucleotide ribosomal RNA is filed under the name uncultured bacterium. Its description in RNAcentral is "partial 16S ribosomal RNA". It matches the Rfam family "Bacterial small subunit ribosomal RNA", at positions 338 to 795 of the family's 1533-position model. The record is from RNAcentral.
CCUACGGGCGGCAGCAGUGGGGAAUAUUGGACAAUGGGGGGAACCCUGAUCCAGCGACGCCGCGUGAGUGAAGAAGUAUUUCGGUAUGUAAAGCUCUAUCAGCAGGGAAGAAAGAAAUGACGGUACCUGACUAAGCCGCCCCGGCUAACUACGCGCCAGCAGCCGCGGUAAUACGUAGGGGGCAAGCGUUAUCCGGAUUUACUGGGUGUAAAGGGGGCGUAGACGGCGAUGCAAGUCUGAAGUGAAAGGCGGGGGCCCAACCCCGGGACUGCUUUGGAAACUGUAUGGCUGGAGUGCAGGAGAGGUAAGUGGAAUUCCUAGUGUAGCGGUGAAAUGCGUAGAUAUUAGGAGGAACACCAGUGGCGAAGGCGGCUUACUGGACUGUAACUGACGUUGAGGCUCGAAAGCGUGGGGAGCAAACAGGAUUAGAUACCCUAGUAGUC